GAAAUGCGAUAAGUAAUGUGAAUUGCAGAAUUCAGUGAAUCAUCGAAUCUUUGAACGCACCUUGCGCUCCUUGGUAUUCCGAGGAGCAUGCCUGUUUGAGUAUCAUGAAAUCAUCAACCCCCCGCCUUCUUUGUUGAAGGUCGGAGGCUUGGAGUUGGGGGGGAUUACUGCCGGUCGCGUCAAGCGGUCGGCUCCCCUUGAAUGCAUUAGCUGGGCGCCACGGUACGGCGGUUCACGGUGUGAUAGAUUAUCUACACCCACGGGACCUCGAACCGGUCGAGCUUCUAACCGUCCCCUCGUCGGGACAACCCCUUUGAAAUCCGAUCUCAAAUCAGGUAGGACUACCCGCUGAACUUAA
This 358-nucleotide unclassified non-coding RNA is filed under the name uncultured Agaricomycetes. RNAcentral describes it as "sequence contains ITS1". The stretch from base 1 to 105 matches the Rfam family "5.8S ribosomal RNA", at positions 50 to 154 of the family's 154-position model. The record is from RNAcentral. Lineage: Eukaryota; Fungi; Basidiomycota; Agaricomycetes.